GCGGAGGUAGCCUAGCCAGGUCAAGGCGCCGGUCUUGAAAACCGGUGGGCCUAGCCCACGGGAGUUCAAAUCUCCCCCUCCGCG
RNAcentral lists this transfer RNA (84 nucleotides) under Thermoplasmatales archaeon SW_10_69_26. Its description in RNAcentral is "tRNA-Ser". It matches the Rfam family "tRNA". From Rfam's summary of the family: Transfer RNA (tRNA) molecules are approximately 80 nucleotides in length. The record is from RNAcentral. Lineage: Archaea; Methanobacteriati; Thermoplasmatota; Thermoplasmata; Thermoplasmatales.